GGGCGUUUGGCACAGUGGUAGCGCGCAUGCUUUGCAUUCGAGCUUGCAUGAGGUCGAGGGUUCAAACCCCUCAACGUCCA
Molecule: transfer RNA, 80 nt
Filed under: Trametes sanguinea
Lineage: Eukaryota; Fungi; Basidiomycota; Agaricomycetes; Polyporales; Polyporaceae
Description: tRNA-Ala
Rfam family: tRNA
About the family: Transfer RNA (tRNA) molecules are approximately 80 nucleotides in length. Their secondary structure includes four short double-helical elements and three loops (D, anti-codon, and T loops). Further hydrogen bonds mediate the characteristic L-shaped molecular structure. tRNAs have two regions of fundamental functional importance: the anti-codon, which is responsible for specific mRNA codon recognition, and the 3' end, to which the tRNAs corresponding amino acid is attached (by aminoacyl-tRNA synthetases). tRNAs cope with the degeneracy of the genetic code in two manners: having more than one tRNA (with a specific anti-codon) for a particular amino acid; and 'wobble' base-pairing, i.e. permitting non-standard base-pairing at the 3rd anti-codon position.
Source: RNAcentral